This 687-nucleotide long non-coding RNA is filed under the name Homo sapiens (human). RNAcentral's name for it is "non-protein coding lnc-PRCD-5:4". The record is from RNAcentral. Lineage: Eukaryota; Metazoa; Chordata; Mammalia; Primates; Hominidae.
CCUUGCAAAGAGCCGCUGCUUGGGAAUGGGAGCAGGAGUGCUCAGGGGCUUGGGAGAGGGCAGAUAAAGGGCAGCUAGAGAGGGAGAGCUGAGCCAAAGGGUGGGGUCCCUUCUGGUCUAGGGUGCUGGCUACUGUGAAAUAACAAGAGUCCAAGAGCAAGGUGUCCAGAGUCAGAGCUCCUGGGUUUGAACCUUGUUCCACCAGCACAUCCUACCUCUGUGGCCUGGUCCUUCAGCUCCUACUUAAUGGAAGCCUCGCAGAUGCAAGAUGGCUCCAGCAGGCCCAGCAUCACUUCUUCUCAGUGUCCCAAAGCCAGAAGAGAGGCUGUUGUUUUUAAAAGCAGGAAAACUUUCCUAAACUUGGCCAGAAUUGCAUCACAGACCCUUUCCUAAAACAAUUUCCAGCAAAGGGAAUAGACUUACCAUGUCUGGUACAGAUGAAUCAAGGUUUGCCCCUGGGGGCUGGGGAGGGGCUUGUCCCGCUGAAGCAGACUCUUGCCCAGCAGCUGAACGAAGCCUAGGUUCACCAGACGGAGGAAGAGACUGGCCACUAACAGUGCCUGACACACAGAUGUGCUUCCUGUGAUAUCGCUGCUGCCACCGUUCCAAAUGUAAGCAGUUGGCUGUCUGGGAUACUACCUACCUUCUUUUGUGUUCUUAUUAAUAAAAUUAAAGAUUGCUUUCUGG